AGGGCCGUUGUUCCAGGGAGAAUUGUAAGUACCUCCAUCCUCCUGGUCACCUGAAGACCCAGCUGGAGAUCAACGGUAGGAACAAUCUGAUCCAGCAGAAGAACAUGGCCAUGUUGGCCCAGCAGAUGCAGCUCGCCAACGCCAUGAUGCCUGGCACACAGCUUCAGCCUAUGGUGAAUCUCUAUGACCUGGUCCAAGACAGCAACAGGUUCAGCUUACAUCAACCUAUGUUCCCCAUGGCGCCAGGUCUGGCCACCAAUGCCAGCGCUGCGGCUUUCAACCCGUACCUGGGCCCGGUGUCACCCGGCCUGAUGCAGCCAGAGAUCAUGCCCAGUCCACAGGUCCUCAUGGCAGGCCACCCCAACCACGGACAGGUCCCCAACGCUGCUGCCGCUGCAGCACAGAAACUCAUGAGGACAGACAGGCUGGAGGUUUGUCGUGAGUACCAGCGUGGCAACUGCUCCCGGGGGGAGAACGACUGUCGCUUCUCCCACCCCUCCGACAGCACCAUGAUAGACACCAACGACAACACGGUCACCGUGUGUAUGGACUACAUCAAGGGCCGCUGCUCCAGGGAGAAGUGCAAGUACUUCCACCCUCCGGCCCACCUGCAGGCCAAGAUCAAGGCCGCCCAGCACCAGGUCAACCAGGCCACCGCCGCUGCAGCCAUGACUCAGUCGGCUGUCAAAUCACUGAAGCGACCCCUCGACGCAACCUUUGACCUGUACCCAUGAUGCACGGUGGUACGCCAGCAUCUGCAGCCACUACAUCCUGCCACAAGCGUUCCCUUCGCAACCACCUCAGCCAAUCAGUUGACUACCAAUGAGUACAUGCAAUUGAUUCCAAUCAUUUCUGCCGAUCAUCUGAGUAACCACAAGUAUCUGACUCAAAUGUAGUCAAGAACAAUCAAAUGUUUGGUUGAUGGCACCGUCCAAGCCUAAAGAGUUCAGCCUUUAUGUAAAUAGUGUUCAGAAUGUCAAGCAAUGGACUGGAGGACCAUCGGUCAUCAUCUCUCAGCCACUCUGGAAUGCUGGUCUUGUUACGCAUGCAAACAUCGGUGUGCUCGGUCGAUGCCAUGACACACACACACAGACACACACACACACACACACACACACCCUCGUCCUCCAAGUCAAUGUCCAGCUGAGAAGAGGAGUGUCUGUCUGUCUGUCCAUCUCUGCUGACAGACAGACACUGAGUACAUUAACAGUACACCUGUUUGUUCAAACACAAAACCAUGGCACUCAAAUUAUUUUUUAUAUAUUUUUUGCACACACCUGAGGUUGAGACCGAGGUGUUGUUGCAUCUACCCUGCAUAAUACAGUGUUGGUACGUUGGUAGACCAAGACACCAUUUUUUAUUCGCUUUGUUCUGUUUUUAAAGUAAUCGACUUAAAACAUUUGCAAACGUGCCCCUUAAAUUUAAAUUUAAAUCAGAAAGGCACAAUACAUUUUAAAAGGGCGAAACGUCAGAGCAUGUACAGUUUUCUGUUUUUAAUAAGGCUUCUAGUUAAACUAGAUACUAAAAUGAGGGUCAGAGACAUAUGAAUGUUCUGGGUAAGAAACACACCUGUGUACCUUUUGAAAGCACAGCUUUAAGCACCAUAGAGGCCAUACAUCCCAAGCCAGAGUGUUAGUUCAGCAGUGUUAUUCUGUUUACCUAAGAUAUGUGUUUUGUAUGGCUCAAGUUUAGAUUUUUACAUAAUUUCUUCAUUGUCUAUUUAAGUAAUAAGGCCCGAGGGGGUGUGGUAUAUGGCCAAUAUACCACGGCUAAGGGCUGUUCUUAAGCACGACGAAGCGCGGAGUGCCUGGAUACAGACCAUAGCCGUGGUAUAUUGGCCAUAUACCACAAUCUCCCGAGGUGCCUUAUUGCUAUUAUAAACUGGUUACCAACGUAAUUAGAGCAGUAAAAAUAAUAAAUGUUUUGUCAUACCCGUGGUAUACGGUCUGAUAUACCACGGCUGUCAACCAAUCAGUAUUCAGGGCUCGAACCACCCAGUUUAUAAUUGUUUUUUAAACAUUGUACCAUUUGCUUUGUUGUUGGGGUUGUCUCCAGCCUUUUAAGUCGUCAGUCUCCUACAUCUAAAAACAGAGGUGCCUUUUCUCUUUUUAUCGAUCUGUUUUUGUUUCGCCUUUCUUUUUGUGCUUUAUUGUGGUGUUUAUCAGACGGGCUGAGCUCAUGGUGACUGAGGAGGUGUAAGUCCGUAGACUCUAAAGCCUGUUGAAGUGAUGUUGGACGUACUAGCUCUCCAUCAGGUGUUAAUUCCUUGUUCUCAGCCUUAAAGGUGGAGAGAUUCUAAAACUGUGUCUGCAAAGAAGCACCGUAAAACCAUGUGUUGUUAAAGUAAGAAAGUCAGACUUAAAUUAGGUCAUAAGAAGAUUUGGCACUUGGUUGAGUGUUUUUGUGCUUCCCCUACCCCAUUACCCCUCUAUAGGCUAAUUUAACUUUAAUUGAGGUAAUACAACAAAAUCAUUGAUUUGAUAUUAAUCAAAAAAUAACGAAAAUCUUUCCCUUUUUGGACCUGAUUUAAUCCGGUUCUGGAUACCAAAGCACAGUUCUGCUCAUGCACGAAGUGUUACCGAAGUAUAUGACCAAAUUCAGGAAGGUUCAACACAGAAUUGGGGGAGCAGAGAAUGAAUUUCAGAACCCUUGUUUUCACAUGCCAUUAUGUUCUGUGAUUUCAUUUGUUGUUUUUUCUGUUUUGGCUGAGGUGUAAAAUCUCUUUACUGAUUGUAAUGUACCUAAUACCUAUUCAAUUGUAUCUAUUGAAGCCUUAGAUUACUGGACUGGGUCCCAACCCAAUCACAUGUACUUUCAAUCCCCAUACAGGCAAUGAACACCAAUGAUAUUUUAUAGUCCGUACACAUACUGCAUGUGUUUUAGAAUUUUUUUUCUUUUUUUUUCUCAAGUAACAAUUUACUCUCUUAAAUUUCAUUGAACUCAUGUGUUAUGUAUUACUUAAGGAUUUGAAUAUAUUUGAAUAUUUAGUUUGUAGGUUUUUGCCUUAUUAUAUUCUACUUGACAAUAUUGUUAAAUAGCCGUUGUAGACUGAGGUGGUAUUACAUCCAUAACUUUUUUAAACCAUAUUCAUGAUUAAUAAUAAUGUGUGGAGUCAGAUAAAGUAUUCAGAUCAUUCAUGUAGCUGGAUGUCUCUUUAGAUUGAAGAGGUUCAUUAUCAAUUACUUUUGUUGAUCAAAGACCUUUUGAUAUUGAUACAAGGAAUGACAUUGAUUUGAUCAGUUGGUAGGUUGCCAAGGCAUCAACUCUGGCUGAAAACGAAUGUUUCAACUAGCUCUUUUUUCUUUGAGGUCUUGUUUGAAAAUAUAUUGUGUCGAAAUGUAGAUUGUCCAUGUUUAGGGAAGGAGAAAACAAGUUAUUUUCUACUUUAUCCAUUUCAAAAAAAAAUAUUGUUUUAAUAUUUCUUAAGAUUGCCCUGAAUAUCAGGCCAAAAUGAACGGUGAGAUUGAUGGGUCUCUGGAGUUGGGUAAAUAGUGAGAUGAGAGGUGAAGUAGUAGACUUUCCCGAAUCAGGAAGGUCUGUAAUGCUGCAGAUGAACGAUCUUUAAACUAAGGGACGAAGGUUGACUUUUUGCACUUCUGUAUAUAGUCAAUGAACAGAGAAAAAACAUGUAUCAUAUUGAGAUAUUAUUUUGAAUAAAAAAUUCUAUAAUUAUAAGGAAUUUUGUUAGGUUAAUUUAAAACAUCUAAACUGAAAGACCAGCUAAACAAAUUUGCUUGCAAAAUGAAAAGAAAAUCGCACCAGUUUCUCAGCCAAUGCACUCAGAAAAAGCUAUGUGCUUUUUGACUUCUUUUGUCAGUGGCUUGUAGUUUGCCAGGGAAUUCUCAAGGGGAGCAUGCCCCCCCCCAUGUUCACUCCCCUUGUAUUUUUAUUUUUAUUUUUUACAUAAAACAAACAUCCUAUAUUGUCUAUAUUUCAAAUGUUGGACCAGGCCCUUCAUACUUGGACCUCUGGUACAAUAACUACAAUAAAUGAUAUUAGAAACCAUAUUAUAUUUUAGUUGAUUUGACUGCAUGUAAAAGAACACAAAUGUAAACAAUAUAUAUAUAGGUAGAUAAGGAAAAUUCAUAUUUUUAAUUUACUAAAUAACAUCGACAUUUGGGGAAAAGAGACUGCAGACAAGUCAUCAAUCACUUGUGAUAUAACAUUUUACCAAGAAACUCCAUGAGAUCUCAAGAAUAAGAUGUAAUGUAAAUGCCAAACCACCCAAGAAAUAUUGUCUUAUCACAGUAAUAUUAGUCAUGUCAACAUGGACUCACAGGACAGAUACAGCUAAUGCUACCAGGUAACUGUGCACUCAGCAGGCGAAGGCUCACCGCCAUACUAAAUGAAUAGGUAAAUACUCUUUCAAAUGAAUGUAACCGUCUUCAGUCAAGGUCAACUUAUUUCUGACUCGAGGUCGCUGUAUAAGUGCUAUUGAACCAAACUAACCAGUGCUGCUCGGACAGAUUUCACUGUCUCUCGGCUUAUUAAACCAAGGUCUCUCUUCCCUGCUGGGGGCACACAGGCUUGACUGCUUAUUAUGUGUAAGUGAUCACUUACAUUUUCUUUGCUUAUAGUUGCUACAGAAUAAUGUACUACUCUGCUUUCAGAUUUGUUUUAUGCACAAUUUAUUGUUGCCAGAAAUGACUCUUGCUGUUAUGAAUUAUAAAAAAAAAUGAAUAAAACUAAAACUGAUUUGCUCACGCAACUCA
RNA transcript from Oncorhynchus kisutch (coho salmon), 4712 nucleotides. It is a transcript of the gene named muscleblind-like protein 1, with no coding region annotated. NCBI's taxonomy places the organism in Eukaryota, Metazoa, Chordata, Actinopteri, Salmoniformes, Salmonidae. The record is from RefSeq and is a predicted model, not a curated record.